Long non-coding RNA from Amphiprion ocellaris (clown anemonefish), 540 nucleotides. The record is from Ensembl. NCBI's taxonomy places the organism in Eukaryota, Metazoa, Chordata, Actinopteri, Pomacentridae.
CAGACGGUUCACCUCACAAGACCGGGGUCAACCACGGCUAACAGCAUGAACGACGGCGCUUCAAUGCACAAUGAGGGACGUCUGCAGCGACUGAGAGAGUCUCACCACAUCCUGACAUGAGGAAAAAGACUUUAUUGAAGACUACAAUGAGAAAAACUAUCCAGACAGCAGACGGCUGCAUUCAAGCUGCUGAAUUCAUGGAUGAAUCGUCUGGCACUAGAGAGCAAGACCAUCAAACAUCCAUGUCAGCUGAUGGAGGCCCAAGAGUCUCACCAAACAAACAACCUACAGAGUGAAGACCUCAAAUCUGAUUGGAUGGCCUCCUAUUCAGCCACAUGUGUGAACAAAUGCCUCUAAGCUGAUUUGUUUUCUAAAAUAAAUCUAGUUUGUGUUCUAAUCAAUGCCUGUGUGUUUGCUUCUUUACACCGCUGUUAACAGUUUAGGCUGUUAGAUUGUUCCAGAUAAGACAAGUACAAGAUUCUUCAGAGCCGUUCUACCACAAGCCUGACAGGAAGAACUCCAACAGCUACUGAAUGUUCC